AUGAACGCUGGCGGCGUGCCUAAUACAUGCAAGUCGAGCGAACAGACGAGGAGCUUGCUCCUCUGACGUUAGCGGCGGACGGGUGAGUAACACGUGGAUAACCUACCUAUAAGACUGGGAUAACUUCGGGAAACCGGAGCUAAUACCGGAUAAUAUAUUGAACCGCAUGGUUCAAUAGUGAAAGACGGUUUUGCUGUCACUUAUAGAUGGAUCCGCGCCGCAUUAGCUAGUUGGUAAGGUAACGGCUUACCAAGGCAACGAUGCGUAGCCGACCUGAGAGGGUGAUGGGCCACAGGGGAACGGGAACAGGGACAGGACUCAUAGGGGGGGAGGAGGGGGGAAGUCUUCAGCAAGGGGAGAAGGCGAGAGGGAGAAGCGCGGCGGGAGUAAUGAAGGUUUGGGGAUCAAAAAACUCUGUUAUGAGGAAAAAAAAAUUGUGAAAGUAAAUGUACGGGUCUGGAGGAUCCCUAAUAAGAAGACCGGGACAAACCAGGUG
This 496-nucleotide ribosomal RNA is filed under the name uncultured bacterium. RNAcentral's name for it is "partial 16S ribosomal RNA". It matches the Rfam family "Bacterial small subunit ribosomal RNA", at positions 30 to 507 of the family's 1533-position model. The record is from RNAcentral.